RNAcentral lists this ribosomal RNA (253 nucleotides) under uncultured bacterium. RNAcentral describes it as "partial 16S ribosomal RNA". It matches the Rfam family "Bacterial small subunit ribosomal RNA", at positions 524 to 776 of the family's 1533-position model. The record is from RNAcentral.
UACAGAGGGGGCAAGCGUUGUUCGGAAUUACUGGGCGUAAAGGGCGCGUAGGUGGCCUGCUAAGUCGAACGUGAAAUCCCUGGGCUCAACCCAGGAACUGCGUCCGAUACUGGUUGGCUUGAAUCCGGGAGAGGGAUGUGGAAUUCCAGGUUUAGCGGUGAAAUGCGUAGAUAUCUGGAGGAACACCGGUGGCGAAGGCGACAUCCUGGACCGGUAUUGACGCUGAGGCGCGAAAGCCAGGGGAGCAAACAGG